Molecule: ribosomal RNA, 253 nt
Filed under: uncultured prokaryote
Description: partial 16S ribosomal RNA
Rfam family: Bacterial small subunit ribosomal RNA
Source: RNAcentral
UACGGGGGGGGCAAGCGUUGUUCGGAAUUACUGGGCGUAAAGGGUGCGUAGGUGGCGCCAUAAGUCAGGUGUGAAAUCUCGGGGCUCAACCCCGAAACUGCACUUGAUACUGUGGUGCUCGAGUACUGGAGAGGAGAUUGGAAUUUACGGUGUAGCAGUGAAAUGCGUAGAUAUCGUAAGGAAGACCAGUGGCGAAGGCGAAUCUCUGGACAGUUACUGACACUGAGGCACGAAGGCCAGGGGAGCAAACGGG